UGCAGUCACCCUCUAGGAGAUGUGUUUAAGGGGCUGCUGAGAUAAGUUGCCAAAAGUUAGUCCCUGGGAGGAGGGAGUGAAGAGACUAACAAACCCAGGAGUGUGGGGAAGGCCAGGGGAUAUGAAAGCAGCUCAGGGAAAGGCAGCAAGGUACAGGAAAUGGACAUUAGCUGCUGUAUUGGAGGCUUCCUGAGUCAGAACCUGGAGUAGAGAGUGGGCCUGGGUUCCCCUACCAGCCACUGUAGGAGUGACACUGUGAGGCCGUGAAGCAGAAGACUGCCUGAGACUACUGAAAAUGAGGAACCUUGAUGCACUCACCCAUGGAAGGGGAAACCACAAUAGGGACCUGGCCUGAGGGGUGAGUCAUGAAGAGGAUGCUGGAGCGAGAGAGGGGCUGCAGAGGAGAAACUGAUGGUGUGUUCCCACAGAAAAGGGCAUCUGCCUGACUGAGCUAAUUCCCAGAACUGUCAGGAGACUGUGUCAUCCAACAGACUCUCUGUAAUUCUGCAGCUUUGGAGUAUCAUGUCUUUCAUGGGGGGCCCAAGAAAAACUUUCUUUGCUUUGCAGUACAUCUGAAACCACCAAGCAAAGCAGAGAGAGCCAGCAAACUGCCUACUGGGAUUCUAUGUCUGAGAAUAUCCAUUAGCAGAUUGGAAGCUCCUUGUAGUAUUUAGAAUUAUUCAGUCGCCUUUUCAUUCUAUGUGAAGAAUUCAUGGGCCAUAUGCAGAGAUGGGCACACUCACUGGGAAGAUGAGGGGCUUGUAUUCAACUUUUCCUUUUCCUGGUAAUGUCCUCUACCUCAUUCAGACUGGAUACCCCACCUCUCCAAAUAUUGGCCUGCUUGCAGCUGCACUGUGUAGCUCUUCUGUUCACUUGCUGAUGCAGUCUCUGAUCACAAAGGACAAGGCAGCUGAGUGUUAAACAUAUGGAGUUACAGCAACCAGUGAUCCAUCCUGCCUCUGAUCAGCACAUGCAGAAGAACUCAAAGCUUGCAUACAAGUUAUAGGCAUGAACAUGGCGGGCUGGUUCCCAAAAGCCCUGGAGGCAAGAGGAUAAUAGCAAAUCCAUGGCAAUAGCACAAAGGAUACCUUAUCCCCAUGUAGCAGCAGCAGAUGAUGGUACUCUUCUAUCCAUUCCUGCUCUGCAGGGAAAGAGUGUUGAAGGAGAGGGUCCUGAAGAAGAGACAUUGAUGAACCCAGAGGUGUACACAGAAGAAAAAAUAGUUCUGGGGUUUCUGCCUUCCUGCCUCCAGAACACCUUAGCAUUGUUUUAUGGCUGUAACCCUAUAAGUCUUCAUUUACCCCUUCCUAUUACCCCAUAUGCACUGCAUCAAGCGCAGAGGUAGAUUAUCCAAUCUCCAAUUUACUGUGGCAGAAAAAGAGACAGCAUCAUCAUUUUAACUUUUUGGAGGUGGUCAAAUACUUUGAAAGCCAUAUAAGUACCUGGAUAAUAGGUCCCUGCACCAGGGACCAUGACUUUCUACUUGUGCUGUAAAGUACCUAGCUAAAUUCUAGGCACUGUAAAAUUAAUAAAUCCAUCUGACAGUUUUGAUUGUUUUGUUAUACCUCAACUCAAUAGAUAUGCUCCCUUCACUGUGUAUACAUAAUUUAACAUGAAUAAAAAUAUAGUAUAUUUCAUGGAUUGAUAUCAUAAUGGAUUUAUAUGCUGCACUUAAUGCAUCAGCAUAUUUUUAUGUGCU
This is a long non-coding RNA of Dermochelys coriacea (leatherback sea turtle), 1699 nucleotides long. RefSeq lists it as uncharacterized. The transcript has 4 exons. The record is from RefSeq and is a predicted model, not a curated record. Lineage: Eukaryota; Metazoa; Chordata; Testudines; Dermochelyidae.